CUGUGACUCACUGCUGGCUGAGGUUCUGCAGGUGGGUUUCUUGGGAGUUCCUCAGCAGAGCCCAGGCUGCUGGAUGGAGCCACUGGGUCCCUGGAGAAAUGGCAGUGUGCACUGUCUCCUCACCUUGGUGCCAAAGGAGGAGGGACCACUAUCACCCUGAAUUCCUGCACUUUCCUGCUAUUGGGCAUGGAAAACAGGAAUACCUACCAUCCAAAAAGACAGCAGGAGAGACAAACAAUAUCCAGUGGAGGAAGGAUGACUUGAUAAUAAACCCUGUCUAUACCUUCACCACAAAACGGGAGAGGAAAUGAGAUGUCAGCAAAAAUGCAUAGUGUGACACAAUCACAUUUAGCAGUAUUCUUAGCAGUGGCUUAAAGCCUCUUACUAAUGUGUUAUUGUAAAUGCCCAUAUCUCUGAAGAAGUUGGGACAGUUACAAAUGGCUAAGUUCAUCCAGGAUGCUUCUCCUCAAGAGCGAUGGUGUCCACUGAGACCCAAGUCAUCUCUGGUGUGUUGAUUUACACUCUAAUGCAAUUUGAACUUCACCUUCAGGCUGAGAUAGUAGUAUGCAGGAUUUUACAACACUGAGAAGCUAUUGUGUGCUUUACUUUGAAAAAUUCUAUCCAAAUGGUGUAUUUGUCUUAACAAGAUGUCCACAUUUCCAUCAGUUGUUCCAAAUUUCCAAGUCAGCCUUCGUGGUGGCUCUGCUGGCACAAAAUUGAGAUCCUGUUCUCAGUCUGCAUAGGUCUGGGCUUUAUUCCAGCAUCUAGCAAGAGGAUCGAUACACUCCAUAACUACCUUCUAUGCACUCAUACUCUGGGGAUAUCUGAACCCCCAGCAGAUCCAUAUUGCCUUCUUCUAUCUUACAAGCUCAGCUGGAUUGUUCUGAAACCACAUGCAGGUGGCUCCUAAUUUUAAUAUCCUCUAUACAAUGGCUAUCAUGAUGUGUAUGAGAGAGAAAAUCCCACUUCCCUCUGAUUCAAUGAGCAUCUGAUGGGUUUCUGAGCAGCCGUGAAUGUGCAGUGCUACAGAGGAAGAAGCUGAGCAGCUGCAAGUCUUCAGGUGUUUUUGCAGGAAGGGAUGAGAGUCUGGGAAUAUGGGACAUUUGGAGGAAGUCUUACUUGUCUUAUAAUGGGGCUAUAGGCUUUUUUGCCAUGUUGUUAGCUAGGUGGACCCUGCAUUCAGGGCUAAAACAUUGCACAUUGGAGGCCUCUUCCAAAAGACUAUAGUAGUCUUAGACCUGGUGCAAAGUAGCUUGUGGAGAGUAAAGGACAUUUUCAUAGGUUAUUGAUAGGAGUUUCAAGACCACACUUCAGUGUUUUCUGUCAUACCUCUCAGUGCUAUGUAGAUUCUGUACUUGCCCCUGUAUAUUUCCUCCCUCAAAGAGGGCCCAGUGUGGAAAAAAUGAAGCUUCCAUUUACUGGCCAACCUAGAUGUGCCGUCAGGCCCGUGAAAUCCUUUCUGCUAAAUGUGGCCUCACAGUUGCUCAGGGCUCAGAAAAGUGAAGCUAGAUCCAUGGAAGCCUUAUCUCUCAGGGUACCUGAAUAUAAGGCCAAGGUGCAUUGGUUUAUUAACCUCUGCUGUGUCAUCUGGAUGUGCUACAACAUCUAAAAAGGCUUCAAAUGUAUUUUUGAAAACAGUGUGGAACAAAAAAAAAAAAAAUCUUCCUGUGACAUCUUCCAACAGCACUUAAAACUUCCAUUAAUAUUAUGAAUUAAUUCAGCACAUAAUCUGCUGCUGAAUCAAAACUUCCAGCACUGUAUUCCAACUGCAUUAAAAGCUGUAUUUCCAUUAAUGUGAAGAAUGAAUCCAGCAUAUAAUAUAUUGCUGAAUCAGAAUUUAUGCAACAGGUUAGUUAAGAGGCUACAGUCAACUCCUAUAACUCAAAUACCUGAAGACUGACCUAAUGCUACAGCCACUGCAAUUAAAAAGCCAGCAGUAGAUAUGAAAAGUACAUCUAUCUGUGGAGGAAAAUCUAUUUCUCUGAACAGUGAUUUGAACAGGAAGUGAAGAGGUUGGAAAAAUAGGUUUUGAAAGUCAAACAGUCACCUCUUUGAUAAAACAGGCUACUAUAGCAGCCUGAUUUCUUGGGAAGAUGUCAGAGCAUGUAAAAAAUUUAGUGUUUCUGUUUAAAAUUUUAGUAUCAUCUUAUUUUGUUUCUUCAAGGAAGCAUACAAGAGAAAGUGCAAUAAAAGUUUGAAAAAAUAUAAGAAGUUUGAAAGAUAAUACAGUAAUUUGCUCACAUUUUUUCAAAAAUUGC
Molecule: long non-coding RNA, 2258 nt
Organism: Passer domesticus (house sparrow)
Lineage: Eukaryota; Metazoa; Chordata; Aves; Passeriformes; Passeridae
Exons: 3
Source: RefSeq, a predicted model, not a curated record